RNAcentral lists this unclassified non-coding RNA (229 nucleotides) under Bombus terrestris (buff-tailed bumblebee). RNAcentral's name for it is "misc RNA ENSBTSG00005022998.1". The record is from RNAcentral. Lineage: Eukaryota; Metazoa; Arthropoda; Insecta; Hymenoptera; Apidae.
UGUUAUUUUUAGUUUAUUUGUGUUUAGUCCCCUUGUAACUGCAAAGUCCAGAAGAUCUGGUUUUUUGUUCAGGUCAGUCGGCCAAUGUGUCGGUGUUCCUGUGGAUAAUAUAUUGAGGUUAUUAUUUCUAAUGUAUUUUUCCAGUGUUCUGCCUCGAGGUGUAAUGUUUCUUGACCCCCAAAGCGUGUGCUUUGAGUUGUAGUCUCCCGCUGCGAUGUACUUGUCCCCU